Molecule: ribosomal RNA, 516 nt
Filed under: uncultured bacterium
Lineage: Bacteria
Description: bacterial SSU rRNA
Rfam family: Bacterial small subunit ribosomal RNA
Source: RNAcentral
UAGUCCACGCCCUAAACGAUGUAUGCUUGGUGUUCGUAUAACGAGUGCCGGAGGUAACCCGUUAAGCAUACCACCUGGGAAGUACGAUCGCAAGGUUGAAACUCAAAGGAAUUGACGGGGGCCCGCACAAGCGGUGGAUCAUGUGGUUUAAUUCGAUGCAACGCGAAGAACCUUACCUAGGCUUGAAGUGUAGUGGACAGACCCUGAAAGGGGUUCUUCCUUCGGGACUGCUACAGAGGUGCUGCAUGGUUGUCGUCAGCUCGUGCCGUGAGGUGUUGGGUUAAGUCCCGCAACGAGCGCAACCCCUAUCUUUAGUUGCCAGCACGUAAUGGUGGGAACUCUAAAGAGACUGCCCGCGCAAGCGGUGAGGAAGGUGGGGAUGACGUCAAAUCAUCAUGGCCCUUACGUCUAGGGCUACACACGUGAUACAAUGGUAGAUACAAUGGGCGAAGCCGCGAGGUGAAGGAAAUCCCCAAAAUCUAUCUCAGUUCGGAUUGAAGUCUGCAACUCGACUUC